This 63-nucleotide transfer RNA is filed under the name Ptosima chinensis. Its description in RNAcentral is "tRNA-Asp". The record is from RNAcentral. Lineage: Eukaryota; Metazoa; Arthropoda; Insecta; Coleoptera; Buprestidae.
AAAAAUUUAGUUAAAAAAUAACGUUAGCUCGUCAGGCUGAAAUUGCCCUUAAGGUAAUUUUUA